RNAcentral lists this non-coding RNA (21 nucleotides) under Arabidopsis thaliana (thale cress). Lineage: Eukaryota; Viridiplantae; Streptophyta; Magnoliopsida; Brassicales; Brassicaceae. The record is from RNAcentral.
CAAAGUUUUCUCUGGUGUUGU